Molecule: ribosomal RNA, 954 nt
Filed under: Triticum aestivum (bread wheat)
Lineage: Eukaryota; Viridiplantae; Streptophyta; Magnoliopsida; Poales; Poaceae
Description: partial small subunit ribosomal RNA
Source: RNAcentral
AUGCGUGUAUCUCGUGGUAAGGAGAAAGCAAUGGAUAUGAUUAGUGGAAAAUGGAAAGAUAGCUUCCAUCUUCUCUAUAGUUUCAAGGCUGAGGUGGAGAAGUGUUCUCCUGGUAGUGUAGUGGAAAUAGACAAAGAGACUGUGAAGUACUCAAUCAAAGGAAAAGUCAGGGAGAAGGAAUGCUUUAGGAGAGUGUUCGUUUCAUUCAAGGCAUGUUGGCAAGGGUUUUUAGAUGGGUGUCGACCAUACUUGGCCGUGGAUUCAACUGCACUAAACGGGAGAUUCAAAGGGCAGCUAGCUUCUGCUUGUGCCAUUGAUGGCCGUAAUUGGCUUUACCCGGUUGCCUACGGGGUGAUAGAGACAGAAUCAUCAGAUAGUUGGGCUUGGUUUCUUCAAAAUCUAUGUAAUCUUAUUGGGCAUCCUGAAGGACUAGUCAUACACACCGACGCUUGUAAAGGUUUAGAGACAUCAGUAGAACAAGUGUGGCCUGGAGUGGAGCAUAGGGAGUGUAUGAGGCAUCUUGUUGCAAAUUUUGGGAAAAAAUUCAAGGGCAAGGUCUAUGAUGAUAAUCUUUGGCAAGCAAGCUUGACUUACAGUUCUAGGAAGCACAAUUGGCAUAUGAAGCAGAUCCUUGCUAAGAAGAGUGUUCAAAAAUAUAUGGCUGAACACCACACAAAGAUAUGGUAUAGAAGCAAGUUCAAUGAAAUCUGCAAGGUUGACUACGUCAAUAACAACCUCGCAGAGUCAUUUAAUAGCAAAGUCAGGAAAAUUAAGGCUCUUCUUAUUGUUGACAUGUUGGACAAGAUUAGGCAGAUGAUAAUGGAGAAGUUUGAUUUGCGGAUGAGGAUAGCAUUAGAAAAAUGGCUUGGCCAUCUCAUAAUACCAAGUGUGAUAAAGGCACUACAUGCCAAAUCCAAAGGUAAACAAACAUCUUCUGCUCUUUCAACCGACUAA